This 403-nucleotide ribosomal RNA is filed under the name Verrucomicrobiota bacterium. RNAcentral describes it as "Verrucomicrobia bacterium partial 16S ribosomal RNA". It matches the Rfam family "Bacterial small subunit ribosomal RNA", at positions 355 to 776 of the family's 1533-position model. Lineage: Bacteria; Pseudomonadati; Verrucomicrobiota. The record is from RNAcentral.
UGGGGAAUAUUGCACAAUGGAGGGAACUCUGAUGCAGCGACGCCGCGUGAACGAAGAAGGCUUUCGAGUCGUAAAGUUCUUUUAUAUGGGAAGAUAAUGACGGUACCAUAAGAAAAAGCCCCGGCUAACUACGUGCCAGCAGCCGCGGUAAUACGUAGGGGGCUAGCGUUGUCCGGAAUCACUGGGCGUAAAGGGUUCGCAGGCGGAAAUGCAAGUCAGGUGUAAAAGGCAGUAGCUUAACUACUGUAAGCAUUUGAAACUGCAUAUCUUGAGAAGAGUAGAGGUAAGUGGAAUUUUUAGUGUAGCGGUGAAAUGCGUAGAUAUUAAAAAGAAUACCGGUGGCGAAGGCGACUUACUGAGCUCAUUCUGACGCUGAGGAACGAAAGCGAGGGUAGCAAACAGG